Aphis gossypii (cotton aphid) is the source of this 1112-nucleotide long non-coding RNA. RefSeq lists it as uncharacterized. The record is from RefSeq and is a predicted model, not a curated record. NCBI's taxonomy places the organism in Eukaryota, Metazoa, Arthropoda, Insecta, Hemiptera, Aphididae. The transcript is spliced from 2 exons.
CUUCUGUACUAAUUGGAACGCGCAAAUGUGUUAUUUGUUUUGAUAAGCAUGGUCUUACCACUUACCAGUGAAAUCUAAAAAAUAGAAAUUAUUUGACAUAUCGUAAUCCAAACGUAAACAUGUUAGAGUUUGUAAUUUAUAUAGGCUUUCUGAUUUUAAAUAUUUAUUCAUUAUUCAUUUGUUUAAUAACUCAUCAAAAGUUUUUAUAGACAUCCUGAAUAAACUUCAAAAAUUCUUCAAGGUAAGCUCUCAGUAUCAUAAAAUUCACUUGAAACUGACCAUUAAUUCUUUUUUGUGUUCAUCGGAAGUACCCAAUAACACCUUUUGGAUCUUUCCCUUUUUUCAGCACUAUUAUGUUUAUUUGGUACAUAUGCUACCGCUAUGGCUUCGACGUCGUUUAAAAAGUCCAUAAUAUAUACAAAUGAUUUAUGUUAAACUUGAAAAACGAAAUUCAAAGGUCUUACCUCAACCAUGUUUUUAGCACAACUCAACAACUGAUUAUUAAUUACUCCAACUUGCUACAAUAUUCACUUUAUUUUAUGUGAAAUUUGACUAUUCUUAAAUAUGGCGCGAAGAAAAACCGCUUACGCGUGUAAUCAAAACGGUGGUCGCUGUUUUAAACCACCGCUGAUAAAAAUUAAAAACCGUGACCAAACCUCUCCGUGUGAACCAGCUGUAUACUAGUAUGAAUCUAUGGGGGAAAAAAACAAUUUUCUACGAUUCACUGCAGAGACCGGAGGCCCCCAGAAAUUGAGAACCUUACGCAAGUGCAGAUGGAACACUUGCACUUGGCAUCACGGCUUGCCUACAGAUGAUGGCUCCAGCACUACCGAUGAUGACUAUUUACUAAACACUAUAGAUGACGAUUCGGAUUGGAUAUAAUUUAAUGCAAAAAUGUUGGAAUAUACAAUCCGAAAAACGUCCAAAUUUAAAUACUGUAUAAAAGUUUUGAAAUCAUAUAUUGUAUAACCAUUGUAGCCAUACAUAUCAUAUGCUAUGAUAAUUUCUAAUUUUUAAUUGUUUAUUAUUUGUAUUUUUUACUAUUUUUUUUUUACCAUAGGUACCUAUUUUUAUAUUUUGUUUUUUAAAUAAAUGUAAUGUAUUUAAUAUUA